Molecule: long non-coding RNA, 4228 nt
Organism: Hylaeus anthracinus
Lineage: Eukaryota; Metazoa; Arthropoda; Insecta; Hymenoptera; Colletidae
Exons: 7
Source: RefSeq, a predicted model, not a curated record
ACUAUCAGCACCUGUCGACGAUGGAUUCUCGCGCCAGAUGCGCUCUUAGAUCGCGAUAAGCUUCGUGUGACACAUUGUAAGACCAUAAACAUGUGGCGAGACGUCGAAAUUACACGUGUGUCUUCGUCCACUUUCUUUGAAUCGCUUAAUUUCGUCGAGUGUGCAACAAGAAUGGGAUCUUGGAGAGUAUUGGAGGCAUGCCGGUCUGAUAAGACAUUUUGACGCCUCGAGAGACCGUUCAAGCGUUAUGAUAAUCGCGCCUACCGUUAUCCAAUCAAUUAUGCUUUAACGAGGCAGACGAAACAAAGAAGACCGCGAGGAAUUAUCCGCAGCCGUGGAAAAGGAAAUGCAUCCAUCGCCGCGUAUGCUACCGCACUUAAUAACGUUGCCUGUCCUUUCUCUUCAAAUGUUGCAAUGGCCGAUCUUUCUUUUCCGUUGAUGCAAUUCUCGUAAAAUUCCUCGAGUGACUGUAAAUUCUAACGAGAAGCCUCCAAAGAAGCUGACAGUAACGAUCGCGCAGAGUGUGUAGAAUGGACCAUUUCGCAAGGUAGAGAAGUUUCCUCUUCGUGAGUCGUUAAAAGCCCACAGAGUCCUGGCACCUUGUUCAAGGGAAUCAAGUUUCAUCGAGGAAGGAACUCGAAGCAGAAUCUUGUUUCGCUAUAUAUAAUACAGAGUGUGGAGAAUGGUCCACUUCACGAUGUAGAGAAGUUUCCUGUUCGUGAGUCGUGAUAUCUUGUUCAAGGGAAUCAAGUUUCAUCGAGGAAGGAACUCGAAGGAGGCUCUUGCUUCAUUAUAUAGUCCGAAGUCGUGACAUCUCGUUCAAAUAGGAUCGAGGAAGCAACUCAAGGCAGGAUCCUGUUCCCCUGUAACAUUUUCAUCAGCGUGAUCGAUCCUAAAUUUUGUCAGGUCGUUUUCACGAGACAACGCGACUCCCCUCCUCGGCGCUCGUCUCCCUUCAAUCGCGCAACUUUGCAGCAAAGGUCGUACAGCGCAUCUACGUACAUGAGAGGUAACGAGGAGUCGUUCUGUCGCAAUACCGAGACAACGCGAGUCACGAUCGGUCAAGAGAGUUUCGAGCUCAAAUGCCGCUCGCGGGCGAAAUCGCAUUUCCGCAACCAGACAUUUCUUCUGACCGGGGUAUCUGCCUCCCCCUCAUCGGGGAAAGUCGGUCAGCAAUUAAAUUAUUCGCAGAAAUUGCAUUAAUUUUCUCACUAUCGUUAUCGAACCCGUAGAAUUAGUUUAAAAAUGCACAAAGCAGUUAAUUACGCCUAAAAGAUGCUUUUACAAUUAGUUUCUGCGAUUUAAUGGACACAGAAAGUUCAUCCUCGUCGAAGGCUUAUUUACACUGCUCCGUGUAGAUAAUUAUGUACGCGUCUUCGGGGUAAAAUGAUUACGGAUUGCGCAACGCGUCUCGAUAUUUAAAAUAAUCAAAUUAUUCACGUAUCAACGCGCAUUGCGACACUGUUCCGUUGCGUGUUGCGUAAUAUAUUCAAUUAAUGUUCGAAGAUGUGACGCAACCCCAAAUGAACGAGCCGUCAUCAUCCAACGUUUACGCGCUUUUCAAGCGUGACGCGAGGAAGGUAUGACCUACAGUUAACAUCCAAGAAAAUGGUCGCGCAAACUGCCUAGGAAUAGUCCUCGAAUUACUCGAAUAACUCGUACAUUUUUUGAGGUAUCACGAGGAACGUUGAUUGGCUGCGUUUCAUAGCGUUUUCUCGACGAAUCGAGUGGAUCAACAACUUCCAAGCAAGGGGUGGAGAAAAGGGAGGAGCGUCUAACGCAUGUGUUUGAUCGAGACGCCCAUUAUGUACUCUGCAUGAUAUUCCCAUGUGAAUGGAGCGUCGUCACGUUCUAGAGAAUGGCUGUUUUAUUAAUAAAGUUCACGAGUGGAUCAGGUUCAAGUAUAUUUCUAAAUGGUCCUCGAAUGGGAUAACUUUUCUACCAGGAAAACAAGCUCGACCGUCAUCGACAGGGUCGCAGAGACCAGUUUAUCGAUGAUAUAUGACGGAGCUUGUGAUUAAUAUAGCGAUAAAUUAAUGCAAAAGAUAUCACGUUGUCUUUAAUAAACUUGUUCCGACCACUUAAUGGGAUUAUCAUAUCGUAAAUGUCAUUGGUUCUGGGGUUUCCUUAAGCCAGGAUCUGGCAGCUUUCAAAUUGUCUGUAAAGUUCAGUUAUCUGUAAGAAGGAUUAAUAAAUAAUCGUUUGAGGAGGGUAAACUUUCCGUAUCCAUUAAAUUGAGGAAACUUCUGCCAUUUUAAUUAAUUGCUUUGGAUAUUUUUAAACCGGAAUGAAAGGGUGAAAAUUAAUACAGUUUCUGUGGAGUAAGACGACAAAUUUGUCAACAAAGUAUUUUAAUUUUAUUAAUUAUCAUUUGUAAUGUGAUAAUAAAAAUUUCGUUUCUACUGUUUGGACUUUUGCAGAGUUUCAUCGGUAGAUCGUUCGAACUUUGCGCUCGACAGUCUCCUGGUACGUCUCACUGAGGUCUGCACAUCCUGUUGGUAUAAUUAUCUUAUCGAUUGGCGUCGUUCCCUCGUUGAGGAAAUUCCUGAUGAAUUACGAGGAUCAAUCCGCGUCGAUGCGUGUACAUUCACAGGUGGUUCGACCUCGUCACCUUGCAGCAAAGCGGCUAUUUUACCGUUGACACCCACGAAAUAAAUCAAUCGACGCGGUCGUGUGCAGCGUGAAGAAGGAUAAUCGAAGGACUGCUAGUUGGCGGCAGGGAAUCAACGAUGGAACGCCGAUUCAGAAAGUUCACGCGAGCUGACGAGCUGGCGAGGAUCUUCUGGGAGUUCUUCGAGAGGGUUGGAUGAGGGCUAUAAAACGUGGAUCUUGCACACUGGACGUUGUCAUGCAAGUUGUAAUAAAAUGGGGACCAAUGAGCUUUCCAUUUGUCAGUUUCAUGUACAUAGAUCAUUAGAAGCAGGAAGUAGCAGAAGUAGGAGUUAAAAUGUAGGAAAGAAAGUAUCCAUUCUGGAGGACUCCACAGGAAUUGGUAACAUCUGUUGACAUUUGAAAUGUGCGGUGAAAUUGCGCAAUACAAUAACUGGAAGGUCUAAAGAGAGAAAGCGUAUUAAGGAGCCGGUUACAAAGCCGAUGCGUUUGAGCGCUAAUUGAAUAUCGGUGAAAUUUCGCCAGUUGGAACUCCUUAGUGACUGCCAUGCGACCAGGGGCGGAUCUGCCAUCAAAUUAACGAAGCGUCGUCAUCCCAUAAAUUCGUGGUGAAAACUGUGUCAAUAUUUCAUAAAAGAACUAGAGAAAUUUUAUAGCGACGGUAUAAUGACUGUGUCGGAAAGGUGGGAGUCCGUGAUCAUGGUUGUCCCCCCUCGCGGAAGUCAUCGAUAAUUUAUCCCGCACGCGAACGAAAUAAAUCGAUCGACAGCGUCUGGUGCUGGCGAAUGAUUCAUAACGUUGAACCGGGACGACAGUUUCGAGCGAAGGCGAACUAAGGAGUUGUUCCACGAAUAAGUCAGACAGCGUAUACACCACGAAUUGGAAAUGAAAAUUGAAUAUCGUGACGAACGAUAGACAACUGGUAGAAGGGCGGAUAUCAGUCGAGCACCACAAGGAUUCGUGGUUAACGAGAGGUUGCUCAUCCUCGAACACGAUGGACUUCGCCGUAAAGCUCGAUUCGUGACGAAAUAUCCGUGGGAACCGUCCAAGGAAACGUGGUUUGGUAGCCACAGUCCAGUAUCUUGUUUUACAAGAGAGCUAACCCAACCUAGUUUUCAACCUAAUCAAGAUCCUAUAAAAAGGUUCAUACCACACAGCUUGUUUUCUCAUUUACAUCUAUCUAGAAUGACCUAUAACCGAUUUAACAACCUCAAAAUCUAUCUGCAUGUACUAUUCUACUCUUAAGGUGGCUGUUUCGAGAUGGUCACGUUCAAAAUCAAAAUCUCAGUAACGCCGUGGUAUGUUCUCUAAGAGUCUGUGUUAAAAUUACAAAAUCUUAAUAUCGUUUUCCAUAAAAUUGUGUUGGUGAAUAUAAAUCAAAACAGGAUCGUACGAUCCAUAUUCAAUCAAAAAACGAUCAAGAGAAGUUUCGUUGAAAUCCCCUAUUAAAUAAAUCCACGGAACAACCACCUUAAGGAAUUUAUCGCUCACGAGGGUUCAUGAUAUAAUAGUUUCCUCUUCGCUGUAUAAAUCGGGAUAGUCUCGAUUUCUGACACCUCUGAAAUAUUCUCGUUCAUCCCCCAGGAUUUUACACUCUACGAGAGUCCCAUGAAAUUUA